CUACGGGACGCAGCAGUGGGGAAUAUUGCACAAUGGGCGCAAGCCUGAUGCAGCAACGCCGCGUGAGGGAUGAAGGGAGGAGGGUUGUAAACCUCUUUUAGCAGGGAAGAAGCGAAAGUGACGGUACCUGCAGAAAAAGCACCGGCUAACUACGUGCCAGCAGCCGCGGUAAUACGUAGGGUGCAAGCGUUGUCCGGAAUUAUUGGGCGUAAAGAGCUCGUAGGCGGUUUGUCACGUCUGCUGUGAAAAUCCAAGGCUCAACCUUGGACUUGCAGUGGGUACGGGUAGGCUAGAGUGCGGUAGGGGAGAUGGGAAUUCCUGGUGUAGCGGUGGAAUGCGCAGAUAUCAGGAGGAACACCAAUGGCGAAGGCACAUCUCUGGGCCGUAACUGACGCUGAGGAGCGAAAGCGUGGGGAGCGAACAGGAUUAGAUACCCCGGUAGUC
RNAcentral lists this ribosomal RNA (444 nucleotides) under uncultured bacterium. RNAcentral describes it as "partial 16S ribosomal RNA". It matches the Rfam family "Bacterial small subunit ribosomal RNA", at positions 339 to 795 of the family's 1533-position model. The record is from RNAcentral.